RNAcentral lists this ribosomal RNA (253 nucleotides) under uncultured bacterium. Its description in RNAcentral is "partial 16S ribosomal RNA". It matches the Rfam family "Bacterial small subunit ribosomal RNA", at positions 524 to 776 of the family's 1533-position model. The record is from RNAcentral.
UACGGAGGGAGCUAGCGUUGUUCGGAAUUACUGGGCGUAAAGCGCACGUAGGCGGCUUGCCAAGUCGGACGUGAAAUCCCUCAGCUCAACUGAGGACGUGCAUCCGAAACUGGCGAGCUUGAGUACUGAAGAGGAUCGCGGAAUUCCCGGUGUAGAGGUGAAAUGCGCAGAUAUCAGGAGGAACACCGGUGGCGAAGGCGGGACUCUGGGCCGAUACUGACGCUGAGGAGCGAAAGCGUGGGGAGCAAACAGG